GCUCAGAUUGAACGCUAGCGGGAUGCCUUACACAUGCAAGUCGAACGGCAGCACGGACUUCGGUCUGGUGGCGAGUGGCGAACGGGUGAGUAAUGUAUCGGAACGUGCCUAGUAGCGGGGGAUAACUACGCGAAAGCGUAGCUAAUACCGCAUACGCCCUACGGGGGAAAGCAGGGGAUCGCAAGACCUUGCACUAUUAGAGCGGCCGAUAUCGGAUUAGCUAGUUGGUGGGGUAACGGCUCACCAAGGCGACGAUCCGUAGCUGGUUUGAGAGGACGACCAGCCACACUGGGACUGAGACACGGCCCAGACUCCUACGGGAGGCAGCAGUGGGGAAUUUUGGACAAUGGGGGAAACCCUGAUCCAGCCAUCCCGCGUGUGCGAUGAAGGCCUUCGGGUUGUAAAGCACUUUUGGCAGGAAAGAAACGUCGUGGGUUAAUACCCCGCGAAACUGACGGUACCUGCAGAAUAAGCACCGGCUAACUACGUGCCAGCAGCCGCGGUAAUACGUAGGGUGCAAGCGUUAAUCGGAAUUACUGGGCGUAAAGCGUGCGCAGGCGGUUCGGAAAGAAAGAUGUGAAAUCCCAGAGCUUAACUUUGGAACUGCAUUUUUAACUACCGAGCUAGAGUGUGUCAGAGGGAGGUGGAAUUCCGCGUGUAGCAGUGAAAUGCGUAGAUAUGCGGAGGAACACCGAUGGCGAAGGCAGCCUCCUGGGAUAACACUGACG
RNAcentral lists this ribosomal RNA (728 nucleotides) under Achromobacter sp. 111117_136_C_H5. RNAcentral's name for it is "bacterial SSU rRNA". It matches the Rfam family "Bacterial small subunit ribosomal RNA", at positions 22 to 745 of the family's 1533-position model. Lineage: Bacteria; Pseudomonadati; Pseudomonadota; Betaproteobacteria; Burkholderiales; Alcaligenaceae. The record is from RNAcentral.